GACGAACGCUGGCGGCGCGCCUAACACAUGCAAGUCGAACGAGCGAGAGAGAGCUUGCCUUCUCGAGCGAGUGGCGAACGGGUGAGUAACGCGUGAGGAACCUGCCUCAAAGAGGGGGACAACAGUUGGAAACGACUGCUAAUACCGCAUAAGCCCACGACCCGGCAUCGGGUAGAGGGAAAAGGAGCAAUCCGCUUUGAGAUGGCCUCGCGUCCGAUUAGCUAGUUGGUGAGGUAACGGCCCACCAAGGCGACGAUCGGUAGCCGGACUGAGAGGUUGAACGGCCACAUUGGGACUGAGACACGGCCCAGACUCCUACGGGAGGCAGCAGUGGGGAAUAUUGCACAAUGGGGGAAACCCUGAUGCAGCGACGCCGCGUGGAGGAAGAAGGUCUUCGGAUUGUAAACUCCUGUUGUGGAGGAAGAUAAUGACGGUACUCAACAAGGAAGUGACGGCUAACUACGUG
RNAcentral lists this ribosomal RNA (466 nucleotides) under uncultured bacterium. RNAcentral's name for it is "partial 16S ribosomal RNA". It matches the Rfam family "Bacterial small subunit ribosomal RNA", at positions 28 to 507 of the family's 1533-position model. The record is from RNAcentral.